GACGAACGCUGGCGGCGUGCCUAAUACAUGCAAGUAGAACGCACAGUUUAUACCGUAGCUUGCUACACCAUAGACUGUGAGUUGCGAACGGGUGAGUAACGCGUAGGUAACCUGCCUGGUAGCGGGGGAUAACUAUUGGAAACGAUAGCUAAUACCGCAUAAUAUUAAUUAUUGCAUGAUAAUUAAUUGAAAGGUGCAAUUGCACCACUACCAGAUGGACCUGCGUUGUAUUAGCUAGUAGGUGAGGUAACGGCUCACCUAGGCGACGAUACAUAGCCGACCUGAGAGGGUGAUCGGCCACACUGGGACUGAGACACGGCCCAGACUCCUACGGGAGGCAGCAGUAGGGAAUCUUCGGCAAUGGACGAAAGUCUGACCGAGCCACGCCGCGUGAGUGAAGAAGGUUUUCGGAUCGUAAAGCUCUGUUGUAAGAGAAGAACGGGUGUGAGAGUGGAAAGUUCACACUGUGACG
RNAcentral lists this ribosomal RNA (472 nucleotides) under Streptococcus gordonii. RNAcentral's name for it is "bacterial SSU rRNA". It matches the Rfam family "Bacterial small subunit ribosomal RNA", at positions 28 to 474 of the family's 1533-position model. The record is from RNAcentral. Lineage: Bacteria; Bacillati; Bacillota; Bacilli; Lactobacillales; Streptococcaceae.